Molecule: ribosomal RNA, 492 nt
Filed under: uncultured bacterium
Lineage: Bacteria
Description: partial 16S ribosomal RNA
Rfam family: Bacterial small subunit ribosomal RNA
Source: RNAcentral
AGUGAACGCUGGCGGUAGGCCUAACACAUGCAAGUCGAACGGCAGCACAGUAAGAGCUUGCUCUUACGGGUGGCGAGUGGCGGACGGGUGAGGAAUACAUCGGAAUCUACUUUUUCGUGGGGGAUAACGUAGGGAAACUUACGCUAAUACCGCAUACGACCUACGGGUGAAAGCAGGGGAUCUUCGGACCUUGCGCGAUUGAAUGAGCCGAUGUCGGAUUAGCUAGUUGGCGGGGUAAGGGCCCACCAAGGCGACGAUCCGUAGCUGGUCUGAGAGGAUGAUCAGCCACACUGGAACUGAGACACGGUCCAGACUCCUACGGGAGGCAGCAGUGGGGAAUAUUGGACAAAGGGCGCAAGCCUGAUCCAGCCAUACCGCGUGGGUGAAGAAGGCCUUCGGGUUGUAAAGCCCUUUUGCUGGGAAAGAAAAGCAGCAGGUUAAUACCCCGCUGUUCUGACGGUACCCAAAGAAUAAGCACCGGCUAACUUCGUG